This 253-nucleotide ribosomal RNA is filed under the name uncultured bacterium. Its description in RNAcentral is "partial 16S ribosomal RNA". It matches the Rfam family "Bacterial small subunit ribosomal RNA", at positions 524 to 776 of the family's 1533-position model. The record is from RNAcentral.
UACGUAGGGGGCUAGCGUUGUCCGGAAUCAUUGGGCGUAAAGCGCGUGUAGGCGGUCCGGUAAGUCCGCUGUGAAAGUCGGGGGCUCAACCCUCGGAUGCCGGUGGAUACUGUCGGGCUAGAGUCCGGAAGAGGCGAGUGGAAUUCCUGGUGUAGCGGUGGAAUGCGCAGAUAUCAGGAGGAACACCAAUAGCGAAGGCAGCUCGCUGGGACGGUACUGACGCUGAGGCGCGAAAGCGUGGGGAGCGAACAGG